This 583-nucleotide ribosomal RNA is filed under the name uncultured bacterium. RNAcentral's name for it is "partial 16S ribosomal RNA". It matches the Rfam family "Bacterial small subunit ribosomal RNA", at positions 355 to 935 of the family's 1533-position model. The record is from RNAcentral.
UGGGGAAUUUUGGACAAUGGGCGAAAGCCUGAUCCAGCAAUGCCGCGUGUGUGAAGAAGGCCUUCGGGUUGUAAAGCACUUUUGUCCGGAAAGAAAUCCUUGGCUCUAAUACAGUCGGGGGAUGACGGUACCGGAAGAAUAAGCACCGGCUAACUACGUGCCAGCAGCCGCGGUAAUACGUAGGGUGCAAGCGUUAAUCGGAAUUACUGGGCGUAAAGCGUGCGCAGGCGGUUUGCUAAGACCGAUGUGAAAUCCCCGGGCUCAACCUGGGAACUGCAUUGGUGACUGGCAGGCUAGAGUAUGGCAGAGGGGGGUAGAAUUCCACGUGUAGCAGUGAAAUGCGUAGAGAUGUGGAGGAAUACCGAUGGCGAAGGCAGCCCCCUGGGCCAAUACUGACGCUCAUGCACGAAAGCGUGGGGAGCAAACAGGAUUAGAUACCCCUGGUAGUCCACGCCCUAAACGAUGUCAACUAGUUGUUGGGGAUUCAUUUCCUUAGUAACGUAGCUAACGCGUGAAGUUGACCGCCUGGGGAGUACGGUCGCAAGAUUAAAACUUAAAGGAAUUGACGGGGUCAUAGCUGUUU